Molecule: ribosomal RNA, 489 nt
Filed under: uncultured bacterium
Lineage: Bacteria
Description: partial 16S ribosomal RNA
Rfam family: Bacterial small subunit ribosomal RNA
Source: RNAcentral
AUUGAACGCUGGCGGCAUGCUUUACACAUGCAAGUCGGACGGCAGCACAGAGAAGCUUGCUUCUUGGGUGGCGAGUGGCGAACGGGUGAGUAACAUAUCGGAACGUACCGAGCAGUGGGGGAUAACUAAUCGAAAGAUUAGCUAAUACCGCAUAUUUUCUGAGGAAGAAAGCAGGGGACCUUUGGGCCUUGCGCUGUUUGAGCGGCCGAUAUCUGAUUAGCUAGUUGGUGGGGUAAAGGCCUACCAAGGGGACGAUCAGUAGCGGGUCUGAGAGGAUGAUGCGCCACACAGGGACUGAGACACGGCCCAGACUCCUACGGGAGGCAGAAGUGGGGAAUUUUGGACAAUGGGGGCAAGCCUGUUCCGGCCAUGCGGCGUGUCUGAAGAAGGCCUUCGGGUUGUAAAGGACUUUUGUCAGGGAAGAAAAGGGCGGGGUUAAUACCCCUGUCUGAUGACGGUACCUGAAGAAUAAGCACCGGCUAACUACGG